This 61-nucleotide small RNA is filed under the name unclassified sequences. Its description in RNAcentral is "Streptococcus sRNA SpF59 (ldcC RNA)". It matches the Rfam family "Streptococcus sRNA SpF59 (ldcC RNA)". The record is from Rfam by way of RNAcentral.
UGACCAUUUUGCACUGUUAAAGCAAAAUUGAGGCUACACGGACGGCCGGGUCAAAUGCCGA